CCUACGGGAGGCAGCAGUAGGGAAUUUUUCACAAUGGGCGAAAGCCUGAUGGAGCAACGCCGCGUGCAGGAUGAAGGCCUUCGGGUUGUAAACUGCUUUUAUAAGCGAGAAAUAUGAUGGUAACUUAUGAAUAAGCAUCGGCUAACUCCGUGCCAGCAGCCGCGGUAAUACGGAGGAUGCGAGCGUUAUCCGGAUUUAUUGGGUUUAAAGGGUGCGUAGGCGGAACAUUAAGUCAGCGGUAAAAUCGAGGGGCUCAACCCCUUUAAGCCGUUGAAACUGGUGAUCUUGAGUGGGCGAGAAGUAUGCGGAAUGCGUGGUGUAGCGGUGAAAUGCAUAGAUAUCACGCAGAACUCCGAUUGCGAAGGCAGCAUACCGGCGCCCGACUGACGCUGAGGCACGAAAGCGUGGGGAUCGAACAGGAUUAGAUACCCCAGUAGUC
This 439-nucleotide ribosomal RNA is filed under the name uncultured bacterium. RNAcentral describes it as "partial 16S ribosomal RNA". It matches the Rfam family "Bacterial small subunit ribosomal RNA", at positions 338 to 795 of the family's 1533-position model. The record is from RNAcentral.